CGCGCACCCACCGAUGGAGGCCUUGAGCCGCUCCUGCCACGCUCCGCGACCUCGGGGACAGAACCUUCCCCAAACCCUGUGAGGGCAGAGGCUUCAAGGUCCGCCACAGCGUGCGCAGGCGCGCGUCCUCCUCUGUGCCCCGGACAGCGCUGCGCUCCCGGGGAGCGGACCCGAGAUCCUCCCGCGAGUCCGGGCCACAUCCAAAGCUGCGGGGAGUGCGGCCUGAGCUAGGCGGCCGGCCCCACGAAGUUGGCACCAUAGUUCUGGACUCAGGCCUGACUCUGACCUGCACCAUUUCUUCCCCUCUGCAAAACACUUUGCAAGGAUGUUCUGCUGGUAACAGUCAUUUCCUACCUUUGCAUUCAAGAAAAUCUUUUCUCCUUUAUUCUCAGAGGACAGCUUUGCUGAGCAUUGCAUUCUAAAUUAAUGAGGUGUUUUUCCAACCUUUUAAACAUGACUCUCAUCUUCCUGGUGCCAUCUCUGUGUAGAAGCAUGAUGCGUGAUGUAGUAGGAUGCAUCUCUCCAGCUUCUCACCAGCUCCUCUCUUUGUCUUUUGUUUUCUUCAAUGCCCCGUUAUC
Molecule: long non-coding RNA, 578 nt
Filed under: Mus caroli (Ryukyu mouse)
Lineage: Eukaryota; Metazoa; Chordata; Mammalia; Rodentia; Muridae
Description: lncRNA (MGP_CAROLIEiJ_G0034639.1)
Source: RNAcentral